AGAAAAAUAAGCUAAUAUAAGCUAAUGAGUUCAUACCUCAUCAAUGGAAUAUAUUUCCUUUUUCUA
This 66-nucleotide transfer RNA is filed under the name Stheneboea repudiosa. RNAcentral describes it as "tRNA-Met". Lineage: Eukaryota; Metazoa; Arthropoda; Insecta; Phasmatodea; Lonchodidae. The record is from RNAcentral.